UCCCUGGUGGCUCAGUGGUAAAAGCAUCUGCCUGCAAUGCAGAAGAUGCAGGUUCGAUCCCUGGGUUGGGAA
This 72-nucleotide transfer RNA is filed under the name Bos taurus (domestic cattle). It matches the Rfam family "tRNA". Rfam says of the family: Transfer RNA (tRNA) molecules are approximately 80 nucleotides in length. Their secondary structure includes four short double-helical elements and three loops (D, anti-codon, and T loops). RNAcentral also lists the same sequence under 5 other names. Lineage: Eukaryota; Metazoa; Chordata; Mammalia; Artiodactyla; Bovidae. The record is from Rfam by way of RNAcentral.